CUUUCCAUCUUCUUUUGCUCAAGACAAAUUUACUGUAUCAAAAGGGAGAGAAGAAAAAGAGAAGGAGACUGUAGAGAGCACGCACAAGGAAAAGACACGGUUCACUCUUAUCAUCCAUCAUUCGCUUCGUGAUCCGAUGACCAUAGUAAGCUCUCAUCAGGCUGUGCUCGGGAACAGCCCACGCUCCGUCGCCUCAUACGAGCGAGAUGAUUCAGUAUCAGAGCAGGACAUCAUCAGCCACUCCUCCCCCCCCGGACAGAUUCUAAUCCUUUGUUGACUGGCAUAUCUCUGCCGUCACGUGAUCUCGCUGCAGAUGCGUGUAAUGGAGCCCAAGAUUAUAUAGUUUAUCUCUUCUUCUUUCUUUUUUUUUCUGGUUUUUUUUAUAUAUUUAUGUCCCUCAUGGGUCUAUAUAUCAUAUGCUCUUCUACAAAAUAUUUGUAGACCUUAGGACUAAAGGAUUGGAUGUUAACUUAUGCGGGGCACACAGCAAAAUGGACGGCUGACGUUGUUGUCGCAUUGAAACGUGCGGUCGGAUAUGUAACGGACUCUCGCUUUGGGUGGUUGAGGUCUCAUUGAAGGCUCCAAUUUUUUCGGCCCCCUCCCUGCCCCAGCAAAUCGAACACAUGACACGACUACCUACCGCUGCAGAGGAGUCGCGAGCCCAAAGACAAGCAAGCAGGGCACACUGCCCUUUUCGCGUGAGCUUUUUAAGUUAGCCCCUCUCUUUCCUCCCUCCUUCCCUUCCUCCAAAAGCUAGCCUUCAGAAAGCGCGCCAUGGAGCUCUUCAGGCUGCUCGCUCAUGCUGGCGAACACGGUGACGGCGACCCCUCCCCGGCUACCGAGCCCGCCGACACCACCAUCGCCGCCACGGUCCUCUGCUCGGACUCCGAUGACGGCGGCGGGGACAGCGAGGACGAGGGCCCCUUCUUCGACCUCGAGCUCACCCCUCCGAUGCAGGAAGACACGGACCACCAUCGAGAGAACCAGCAGUCGUCCGACGCGGAGACCGAGGACGAGGACGGAGCGGAAGAGUUCGACCUGGAGUUGUCCCCGGAUGGAGGAAGGUACGGCCGCGGCGGCGGCAGCCUCCGGCGCGACCCCGACCUCUCGUUGUCCCCCUCCGAUGGACUUUUCUUUAAGGGCCGCCUCGUCCCGCUCGAGCCCUCCUCGUUGACGGACUUCGCCGCCUCCGAGGUGGCUAAGUCGUCCAAGUCCCAAGUCCCUGCUUUGCUCAAAUCCGCCGCCAGGGCCCGCGCCUUUAAGCUGAGCUUCCACGGGAGGUCGAAGUCGGCCUCGAUGGAGCCCAACCCCGUCUCCUCCCCCGCUGCGACGUCCUCGCCGCCGAAGCAAAAACAUAGAAACAAGUUCUUCGUCAGGUUCAGGGUCGAGGCGGCCCCGCCGGUGCCCCUCUUCGCCAGGGACAACAGCUCGAGGAGCUCCAGCAGCAGCAGAUCGGCCAUGCUUUUCGCCAACGAUGGAUGGCCGGCGUCGGACGACAAGAAGCUCCUCAAGGACGUGCUCCAAAGGUAUCUUAGCAAAAUUAAGCCUUUUUACAUCAAAAUCUCGAAACGGUACGGCGAGAAGCUCCGGUUCUCCGGGCCGUUGAGCUCAAGCAGAGCCAUGAAAGUGCGGCCCGCCAAGGAAAGCGGAGGAGACCAGCUGAAAGAGACGGUAUCAACGUGGAGCAGCUUUAGUGGGUCACUGAAGUCGCAAGAUGAGAAUAUCCCGGCGGGACUGAGGGUGGUCAGCCGGCGACUGAGGAAGAGCCGGUCGGCGUCCGCGGCCGUCGCCUCGGUUCGCUCGCCGCCGCUGGCGACCGGAAGGCGGGACGACUCGCUCUUGGAGCAGCAAGACGGAAUCCAAAGCGCCAUCGCUCACUGCAAGCGGUCAUUUAACAGAGGGUCGGAGUCGCCGCUGAUGCGAUCGAGGAGCGAUUCCGGCGACGGGAGAUCGUUGGAAUCAAGCAGCAGCAGCAGCAGCAGCAGUAGCAGCAGCGGCGGCGGCGGCGGCGACGUUUGAGCAUCGUCCGUUCGGGUUUUUAUUAGAACGGAGGUGGAAAUUAAUACGCAUAAAGGAGAACGAAAUGGUUUGGUAGAGCUAUUCCAGAUUUGGUUUACAUCUCUUUUGUGGGUGCAGUUGACUGUUCGUUCGGUGAAAAGAAAUCAAAGACGCGGAGGUGUGGACGGACGAUGAAGAUGAGGAAGAAGACAAAGGUUUUGGAGGACAAAGAUCUGAACGAGUCUUGCCAUGAGCAUGCAUGCAGGAAGCAGAAGACCCACCACCGUAUGUUUGUUCAAAGUGGCAUCCCCACCUUCCAUCGUAUCCCGUCCAAAGGAGAGAGAGAGAGAGCGGCAGCCUGUGGCAGACUAAAGCAGCGACAAAGAGGUGCGGAUGUGGGGGGGAAGGAGCAGGCGAGAGAGAGAGAGAGAGAGAGAGAGAGAGAGAGAGGGAGGGAGUAUUCAUCCUUUAAUUAAUUGCGUGGUCAGCGGAAGCAGCGAAUCCGAUGCUCGCCUUUUGGAGUGCUCGCGUGAUGCUGUGCUUCUUUUGUCAGGUAAGACAGCAUCAGAUUCUCCCUGCGUUGUAGUCCGGAUGGUGUGAUAGCUUGUCGUCACACCGCAAUUGUUUGACCUCGUCCGACUUCAUCGAGUUCCAUGCUUUCUUGGACGACGCCAGCUGAGAGUGAACUCUGGCUUUGCGAUGCAUGGUUCACGGGCGGUGUGCCAAAAGAUUCGCGGUAGGGUUGCUGAUCUGGAUUCAGUACACCAAGUGUUUGAUGGAAUGGGAGAGAAGACUAUGGGUUGCAUGGAGGAUAGAUCGUCCUCCUCUCGCUCUGAAUAAAUUAGAUACCAUA
Musa acuminata subsp. malaccensis (wild Malaysian banana) is the source of this 2851-nucleotide RNA transcript. It is a transcript of the gene named probable membrane-associated kinase regulator 2, with no coding region annotated. NCBI's taxonomy places the organism in Eukaryota, Viridiplantae, Streptophyta, Magnoliopsida, Zingiberales, Musaceae. The record is from RefSeq and is a predicted model, not a curated record.